GAAUUUAUGCCAGAGCAAAAGAAUGAUUGGGUGUCCAUGUAACUUUACAUAGUUAUGUUUGGCCAAUAAUCGUUUGGACA
RNAcentral lists this small nucleolar RNA (80 nucleotides) under Drosophila willistoni. Its description in RNAcentral is "snoRNA:GK26508". Lineage: Eukaryota; Metazoa; Arthropoda; Insecta; Diptera; Drosophilidae. The record is from RNAcentral.